RNAcentral lists this unclassified non-coding RNA (258 nucleotides) under uncultured Russula. RNAcentral's name for it is "sequence contains ITS2". Lineage: Eukaryota; Fungi; Basidiomycota; Agaricomycetes; Russulales; Russulaceae. The record is from RNAcentral.
AAUUCUCAAAACCCUUUCUUUGGUCUCUCGAUCGGGGGAAGGAUUUUGGACUUGGAGGCCUUUUGCUGGUUUCACCUCGAAGCGAGCUCCUCCCAAAUGAAUUAGUGGGGUCUGCUUUGCCGAUCCUUGGCGUGAUAAGUCAUUUCUACGUCUUGGGUUUUUGGCACUGUACACCUGCUUCCAACCGUCUCAUUGACAAACGAUGGUGUUCCGGUCGCCGCCGAUUCGUCGGUGGGAGGCUUGACCCACGAAAUGAAC